GCAUGGCUGAAUUCUGUGUUACUUUGCAUGUAGUAAAUACAGUCAGACACCAUGCUAAAUUACUGCUCUCACAAAC
Molecule: small nucleolar RNA, 76 nt
Organism: Poecilia formosa (Amazon molly)
Lineage: Eukaryota; Metazoa; Chordata; Actinopteri; Cyprinodontiformes; Poeciliidae
Source: Ensembl